CACCAUCCCAUCCCCUUUCCUUUGCCAGCCGAUCACCAACCCAACCCCACUGAUUCCGAACUACCCCACUAGGAACAGCUCCCAUCUCCCACCUACCCUCCACCCACAUCCCUACCGAGAUAGCCAUCGAAACUGCCAAAAAAUAAAUAGCAACUGUCACAGCCAAAAACAGAAAAUAAAAAAACCAAGCCAGCAAAGCCAAAAAAAAAAAAAAAUGCAAACAACCACAGUCCUCUAUUGAGGAAUCCAUCAGGAAAAAAAAAAAAAAGAAAGAGAAAAGGGCCCGUUGAGGACGAAAAGGACAGAAAAUAAAAAAACCAAGCCAGCAAAGCCAAAAAAAAAAAUGCAAACAACGACAGUCCUCUAUUGAGGAAUCCAUCAGGAAAAAAAAAAAAGAAAGAGAAAAGGGCCCGUUGAGGACGAAAAGGGCUUUCGGUCAUGGGAUUUUUUUUUGUUUUUAUGAGUGAUUUGGGAGAGUAUUUUUAAGAUUUUGGAAAAGGAGAGAAAAGAGCUAUUUUUUUGGGCGGUGGGAGCGACGGCGGUGUAUGGAGGUCAGCAGUGGCCAGGAGACUUUUGGAUGAUCUGAACCGGUAGAAAGGAAGGAUGGAAGGGGAGAAACAACAUACUUUGGUUUCAGGACGACCGGAUGGCAAGAAGAGGGUGAACGGCGGUUUAAAAUUUCGGAUUAAAGUUUCAGAUCUAAGCUAUUAUGAGGUGAUUUGAGCAAAACAGAGGCUGAAUCUGAGACGAGAAGGAAGAGAGGAGUCCACGGCUGAAAUUUUGGAGCCAACUGACGCCAAACAGCGGCAGUGAACGGCGCCGGGUCGGCUACCGUCGCCGGGAUCUGGGUUAGGGGAUAGUGGCCGGGUGUGUCUUUUUGUGGAGAGAAAAUGUUGCUCUUUGAAAGAGAAGAAGAAUGAAAUGAUAUAAAAAAAAAGGUUUUGCAUUUUAUAGUAUAGCAAAAAAUGAAAAACACAGGUUUGAUGCUCCUGACCCGAACCUCUUACAAUGUUUGUAUUUAGCAAAGUGAUCAAUGAAUAUGGAAAUCCUAAUAGCACAUUUCUCUGAUGAUGUUGUAGAUAAGAUUCGUAUGGAAACUCCAUCUGGGAUUAAGGACUCCAUUCCUGCUUGGAUCAAGUUCUCUGUUCAAGCACCAGGUGAAAUCCCAUACAACAGAAUACAGUAUGAUCUGCCAGAAGAGGAAAAGUAUGUAUUCAAACACCCCCAGCCAAGAAGACCAAAAUCACUUAAGUCUAUGAAUCACAUGUUGGAAUGAGUAGCAUGAUGCAGGAGCCAAUAAUUAACACAUAUGCCAACUUUAGAGAUGAUGUGCUUCCCCGCAUUAAAAGACUUGGAUAUAAUGCUGUUCAAAUCAUGGUUAUUCAAGAGCACUUGUAUUAUGCUAGAUUUGGGUAUCAUGUGACAAACUUCUUUGCACCAAGCAGCCAUUUUGGAACCCCUGAUGAUCUUAAGUCACUGAUAGAUAGGGCUCACAAGUUGGGUCUACUUGUUCUUAUGGAUAUUGUGCAUAGCCAUGCAUCUAAUAAUGUGUUAGAUGGAUUGAACAUGUUUGAUGGAACCGAUGCUCAUUACUUCCACUCAAGGUCAAAGGGUCACCAUUGGAUGUGGGAUUCUUUCCUUUUUAAUUAUGGUACUAAGGUUUCUUCUUUCAAAUGCAAGAUGGUGGCUGGACGAAUACAAGUUUGAUGGGUUCAGAUUUGAUGGUGUGACUUCAAUGAUGUACACCCAUCAUGGGUUGCAGAAUGAGUUUGGUGUCUGGGAGAUCUUUUGGCCUAAUAAUGCUGAUUAUUCACCACCAAUUCCCCAUGGUUCUCAAGUGAAGAUUUGUAUGGAAACUCCAUCUGGGAUUAAGGACUCCAUUCCUGCUUAGAUCAAGUCCUCUGUUCAAGCACCAAGUGAAAUCCCAUGCAACAGAAUGUACUAUGGUAUGCCAGAAGAGGAAAAGUAUGUAUUCAAACACCCCCAGCCAAAGAGACCAAAAUCAUUUAAGUCUAUGAAUCACAUGUUGGAAUGAGUAGCAUGGUAUCAUGUGACAAACUUCUUUGCACCAAGCAGCCAUUUUGGAACCCCUGAUGAUCUUAAGUCACUGAUAGAUAGGGCUCACAAGUUGGGUCUACUUGUUCUUAUGGAUAUUGUGCACAGCCAUGCAUCUAAUAAUAUGUUAGAUGGAUUGAACAUGUUUGAUGGAACCGAUGCUCAUUACUUCCACUCGGGUCAAAGGGUC
This is a non-coding RNA of Durio zibethinus, 2245 nucleotides long. NCBI's taxonomy places the organism in Eukaryota, Viridiplantae, Streptophyta, Magnoliopsida, Malvales, Malvaceae. The record is from RefSeq and is a predicted model, not a curated record.